This 497-nucleotide ribosomal RNA is filed under the name uncultured bacterium. RNAcentral describes it as "partial 16S ribosomal RNA". It matches the Rfam family "Bacterial small subunit ribosomal RNA", at positions 28 to 523 of the family's 1533-position model. The record is from RNAcentral.
GAUGAACGCUGGCGGCGUGCUUAACACAUGCAAGUCGAACGAAGCAUUUGCGACAGAUUUCUUCGGAUUGAAGUUGCUUAUGACUGAGUGGCGGACGGGUGAGUAACGCGUGGGUAACCUGCCUCAUACAGGGGGAUAGCAGCUGGAAACGGCUGGUAAUACCGCAUAAGCGCACAGUACCACAUGGUACAGUGUGAAAAACUCCGGUGGUAUGAGAUGGACCCGCGUCUGAUUAGCUAGUUGGUGAGGUAACGGCCCACCAAGGCGACGAUCAGUAGCCGAUCUGAGAGGGUGACCGGCCACAUUGGGACUGAGACACGGCCCAGACUCCUACGGGAGGCAGCAGUGGGGAAUAUUGCACAAUGGAGGAAACUCUGAUGCAGCGACGCCGCGUGAGUGAAGAAGUAGUUCGCUAUGUAAAGCUCUAUCAGCAGGGAAGAUAGUGACGGUACCUGACUAAGAAGCUCCGGCUAAAUGCGUGCCAGCCGCCGCCGUAA